RNAcentral lists this transfer RNA (78 nucleotides) under Acidilobales archaeon. RNAcentral's name for it is "tRNA-Arg". It matches the Rfam family "tRNA". Rfam says of the family: Transfer RNA (tRNA) molecules are approximately 80 nucleotides in length. Their secondary structure includes four short double-helical elements and three loops (D, anti-codon, and T loops). Lineage: Archaea; Thermoproteati; Thermoproteota; Thermoprotei; Acidilobales. The record is from RNAcentral. RNAcentral also lists the same sequence under 2 other names.
GGGCCCGUAGCUCAGCCAGGAUAGAGCGUCGGCCUGCGGAGCCGGAGGUCCCGGGUUCAAAUCCCGGCGGGCCCGCCA